UGUGGGAGCGAGCUUGCUCGCGAUAGCGUCGGAUCUGCCAGCAUCGAUAUCGACGGGUACACCGCUAUCGCGAGCAAGCUCGCUCCCACA
Molecule: unclassified non-coding RNA, 90 nt
Filed under: Pseudomonas sp. NFACC56-3
Lineage: Bacteria; Pseudomonadati; Pseudomonadota; Gammaproteobacteria; Pseudomonadales; Pseudomonadaceae
Source: RNAcentral